GACGAACGCUGGCGGCGUGCUUAACACAUGCAAGUCGAACGGAAAGGCCCUGCUUGCAGGGUCCUCGAGUGGCGAACGGGUGAGUAACACGUGGGUGAUCUGCCCUGCACUUCGGGAUAAGCCUGGGCAACUGGGUCUAAUACCUGAUAGGAGCCAUUUUUAGUGGGAUGGUUGGAAAGUUUUUUCGGUGUAGGAUGAGCUCGCGGCCUAUCAGCUUGUUGGUGGGGUAAUGGCCUACCAAGGCGGCGACGGGUAGCCGGCCUGAGAGGGUGGACGGCCACAUUGGGACUGAGAUGCGGCCCAGACUCCGACGGGAGGCAGCAGGGGGGAAGAUUGCACAAGGGGCGCAAGCCUGAUGCAGCGACGCCGCGUGGGGGAUGACGGCCUUCGGGUUGGAAACUCAAUUCGCUAGGGACGAAGCUUUUUGUGACGGUACCUAGAUAAGAAGCACCGGCUAACUACGUG
This 465-nucleotide ribosomal RNA is filed under the name uncultured bacterium. Its description in RNAcentral is "partial 16S ribosomal RNA". It matches the Rfam family "Bacterial small subunit ribosomal RNA", at positions 28 to 507 of the family's 1533-position model. The record is from RNAcentral.